Non-coding RNA from Pelobates cultripes (western spadefoot toad), 5484 nucleotides. Lineage: Eukaryota; Metazoa; Chordata; Amphibia; Anura; Pelobatidae. The record is from the annotation of a GenBank genome assembly.
UUUUUUUAAAUUAUUAUACGGAAAUAUACAAUGUGUUCAAAAUCUGUGGAGAAGCAAAAGAGCAAAAUAUAUGUGCCAUAAUUAAUGAAGGAGCACAAAGUUACUGCAUAAACUGUUAAAAGAGUUGAUAGAAUAGAUUUAUACCAAUCCAUGUUAUUACACAUUUAUUGUAUAUAUAGACAAGUAACAGAACUUGCAAAACUGUCCACUCCUGAGCCUCAGAUUAGCAUUAACUAGCAGUUUUAGGGCAUAUUUAAAUGAUUAUUUACAUAAAAUAUUUUUCUCAAAAUAAAGAUUCUUAUUAUAUUAUCCACUUUCAUCUCUGUACAUAUUUGUUUUACAAUUUCAUAAACUAACUGAGUCAACAAUUAUCCAUUACCAUAAAUAUUCAUGACCUACAUGAUCUACAUUUUUGACAUGGCAGUACACGUUGCAGUGGAAUACCUGGUCAGGAACAUUUUAUAUUUCAUAAUACAUAUGAAUGUGGAAUAUAGAAGUGUUCCUAUUUUUUCUGUUCAUUUUUGAUAAAUUUACUGGCACUGGAAAGGCUUCCUAUAAGAAAUGGACAUUAGCCUACAGCAAGUUGACCUCAACAUACAUAGUGGUGAAGGUAAUUCUGAAAACUAGAACAGAGAUAAAAAAGGGUUGUGUAUAAAGUGUGCUGUGUAAUGAAAAGUGGUGCAAACAGGGGUGGACUCAUUAAUGUAAUGUGCUUGCUGGGUACACUUUUGUCAAUUAUGACUGUCCCACUUUUAAUAUUUGAGACCACUUUUCAGAGAAGAACACAUUUUGUCUAUAACCACCAUUGUAAUUUUAGGAAUAUAUAGAUGACAAGUUGACCAAAUACUUCUUAAUAUACUAAGACAUGAGCAAAUACUUAACUGUCAACAAAGUACUUUCUAGGGAAAGUAUGUAUUAACAAAGUGCAGAAAAAGUUAACACAUUUCGAUUGUUUUUGCAUUUAUCACUAGCGGUUAGUGACAUAUUUAAAAUUCAUAACUGCACAAAUAUAUUAAAAUUUGUAAACUAUUUUAGCAUGUUUGUGGAUCUUUAUUUUAACAUGCUUUUUGUGAAAGCAAUAUAUUCCUUGUAUGGUUUAAUUCACUAUUUAUAACAGUAGCAUGAUCACCUUGGCAGUAUUGAGGAAGUUAAAAGCAUAAACAUGAAAAAUACACUAUUCACACACCGUUCAUGUUGUGGCUGGUUAAUAAAAGUCAAUCAAUGUAAUUUUGAAAUGUGAUCAUAACAAUACAGCAGCUCUAUUUACAGAUCUUUUAGUAAAAAUCAGUUUUUGAGCAAACACUGCAUUAGUGAUUUUGUUUUCUCAUAAAACCAAUAUUUACAUUUUAUAGGUAUUUCUCAGCUGUGCUUUCACAAAAAAAAAAAAAAAAACAACAGAUUUUAUUAAGUAUAAGUUGUUUGCUUCCAAAAAUCAAGGACACCAUCACAGAUUUUUUAUUACUUGAAAAAUUUGAGCAAAGCUGCAGUAAAUCUCUCACACAAUCUCAUAGAGCUGAACAAUCCUCAAAACUGAAACAUGUCAGCGCAAGCACACUUGUUUGUCACAAACGUUGUCACAUUAUUCAGUGGCAUCUUCAGAGGAGAAGGAGAGAGCAGAAGUAUAUAAACAGGGUGCUGUUUCUCAAUAUGAUCCUCGGGCAUCCAUCCACACUCAUAAUACCAUAAUACCAUAUUAAUUUUAGGCAACCUUUAAUACCUAUCAUCAGCCCCAGCCAUCCAACAUUCCUUCCAAAAAAUCUGUCAAAAAACUAGCAGAUUCUAUCUACUAGUGCCUCAGCUUCACUGAAUUUGUCCUUUGCUUCACUGCUGCUCUUACUAUUGUAACUUGAAGCCUCCAAUCUUGUUGUGCAAUUUGUGGUGGACAUAUUUAAAUGGCUGCCGACACGCACAAUGAUCUCAAGCAGUAUUCAAAGCAACGUAGACAAAACAUCCAAAUAACGCAUGACAAUAUAAACUUUGUGUAGUGGUUUUGGAUUAUAAGAGAACUAUAAAAGUUGUAUAUGCCACAUUCCCUCCACAUGGAGACACUGAACUUUCCUCGUAGAGAUGCACUGAUUAGAUUAAUCAAUUCAUCUCUAUGAGGAGAUGCUGAUUGGCCAUGGCUGUGUUUGGCUCUGCUCUGAUCUGCCUACUUGAUAAGCUCAGCCAAUCCAAUGCUUUCCUAUGGAUUUUACUAUAUAGAUUUUACUAUAUUUAGGGGGAUUAGAUGGUGUUUUAACACUACAGGGUCAGGAAUACAUGUUUGUGUUCCUGACCAUAUAGUGUUCCUUUAAUGGUUUAUAUAUACAUAAAAUAUUAGAAAGUUCUAUAUCACAUAAUAUGUAUGGGUGCACGGAAGCAAGGUCAAAUUAUGGUCGACUAAAUGUGUGUCAAAAGUUCCAGAAAAGGCCUUGGUCAAAAAACGUUGCAUCUAAAAGACCUUGGUCCUUAAGAGGUUAAUGUUUAUUUUCUUAAUGCAUAGAUUUUACACACACACACAGACUGUGCAAAAUCCAUGGAGAUGUUUGUCAAUUACUCUUUUUUUUGUCAACAUUCAGUGCCUGUUCAGUACAGAUGUCUAAUGUUAUCCACAUAUCUAUUGAUCUAUUGGUUAGUAUUAUUUAAAAGUACAAUGUUUAUAUACAUAUAUGUAGUGGCAUUGUUUUAGAAAUCUGCAUUCCCAAAAAUACCCUGAGAAACCUGACAAAUAAAAAAAAAAGCUUUUGCCAAAAGUAAUGUUUGUGACAAAAAAAAAUAUUUACUUUCUAUACUAAUAUUUUAUUUUAUCAGUUAUAUUUCAAGAAAAGGGAUGCCAUCUAAUGUCUUUAACAUAUAUCCCCAAUAAUUCUAUAAAGUGUGAGUUUAUGCCAAUUUACAUUCUUUUAAUGUGUUAUUUUUAAUUUUUACCUGUAUGUUAAAUUUUAUUUUUACCUGUAUGUUCAAGCUAAGCAUCUCAUGUUUCAAAUAAAAGUUAAGCUACUUGAAAAAAUAAAAGAAUCCUUUUGGCCUUUGACGUGCCCCUCUUGUGAAUCUAUUUCUCCUGACGAAUACCCUUAAAGGACCACUAUAGGCACCCAGACCACUUCAGCUUAAUGAAGUGGUGUGGGUGCCAGGUCCAUCUAGAAUUAACCCUUUCUGCUGUAAACAUAGCAGUUUCAGAGAAACUGCUAUGUUUACUUUAGGGUUAAUCCAGCCUUUAGUGGCUGUCUCAUUGACAGCCGCUACAGGUGCUUCUGCGCUUCUCACUGUGAUUUUCACAUUGAGAAGACACCAGCAUCCAUAGGAAAGCAUUGAGAAUGCUUUCCUAUGGACUGGCUGAAUGCGCGCGCGGCUCAUGCCGCGCAUGCGCAUUCAGCCGAUGACGGGGAAAGAAGGAGGAGAGUCCUCAGCGCUGAGGAAACCCGGCGCUGGAAAAAAGGUAAGGGAUUAACCCCUUCCUCUCCAUUCAGCCCGGCGGGAGGGGGGCCAUGAGGGUGGGGGGACCUAGAGACCCUAUAGUGCAAGGAAAACAAGUAUGUUUUCCUGGCACUAUAGUGGUACUUUAAGGAUACCUUCACUAUUACAUAUAUGUUAUUAACCAUCAUGUUAAGCCUUGACUUAUGUGUCAUAUGCCAUGUUUAUCUUGAAUCUGCCGGCUGGAAAAAUAAAGAAUAAAAAAAAAAAAAAAAAUUAAGAACAACUGCAUUAAAAGAUCAGUUAUUUUGGUUUAACAAAGGUUAUGUUAUUUACAUGACAUUGCCUAAAAGCAAGAUUAUGUGCUUGAAUUGACUCAAUUGAUAACUACCAGAUUGUGCCACAUUCUCUUAGUUCUAAAUUAUUAUGAUGCAUUUAAACACAGUAUAAAACGCACUCUCAGGUAACAAGAACCAUGACAGGGCAAGGAGUUGUGAUUGCAAAGGGCUGUGGUGUAACAAGUUUGUACAAAUCAUCAAGAAGUGCCACACAGACUGACAAUAUAAAAGAAUACAAAUGGAAGGUUAUGUCAUAAAUUAUGUCAGAAUGAAGCACUAGUAAGCUAUUAAGAGACUUCACUUCUGGAAGGGACUGUUAUCAUGACAUUACACCUUCCAGUGUUGCCACCUGGGAGGAUAGAACCAGGACAUUAUGGAAACUUGGCAUGGUUCUUGCUACAUGAGAGUACAUUUAUACUGUGUAUUGGGUUUACUGUUUUCUGACCUCGGCUUGUUUGACCAUACUUGCUCUCUAUUGCCUGACCUUGGUUUAACUAUUGAUUCUGUCUACCUCUCGGCCUGUUUCUCAUUUCCUCUCUGUCUGUUUGCAGACAUUUCAUUUUUCUGUCUUAGGGACUAGCCUGGCCAUUCUAAGGAUAAGUACUUUUUCUUUAUUGUUUAUGUAGGUUUGCGUGUUAGAGCAUCUUCAUUCCUGACAUUACAACAGGACCAGAAAAUAAGGACAAGCAGGAUGUAUACCUACCCUAUACUGGGUUGUGAUUGGUUGCAGAAGGUUGUGAUAUCACAAGUGUGUACACAUUAUCACAAAAGCACCGAAUACACUGACACUAUAAAAGUAGACCAAUGGAAAGGUUUCAUGUCAUAAAUGAUGUCAGAAUGAGGCACCAGGAACCAAGGGAUGAGUGGACAACAUCUUCUGAGCAGAAGAGACAUUCCUUAAAUGAUCACACGGCCCCGGGAGGGACAGAAAUCAUGACAGACAAAAGACCUCAAAUCUAUACUGUUCAUUUGUAUACAAGACAGGUAUGUAUAUGUCUAUAUGACUUUCUUUUUACAAAGAGUGUGUUUACUAUGCUAUGAAGACACUAUCUGUGUAAAAUACACAAUAUAAUUUAUAUUGAGUACAUGAAUUUAAUCCAUAAACAAUUACAGUUUAAUAAAUCAUUUAUAUAUUUGUUAGAUGAAAAGUAUGUAACUUUUUAAAAUCAAUGUAUGUUACAUAGUAAGGAUUAAAACUUUAAAAUGGUUAUUUACCCCAAGCACAAUGCUGGCAUAUUUCAGCAGUAUACAGCCUAACUGCUUGGGACCAUAUCAGUAAUAGAUCAGCAACUCGUGACUUACCCUAAAAGUAUAUACAGGCUUUACUGUGCUGUAAAUUGCCAGAUUCCUAGGCUUUAAAGAAACAUUCUAAGCACCAUAAGCAUGGCAGGUGGUAAGAGUGCGCUGGCAUCCACAAGCCCAUUGUAAAUAGCCAAACAGCUUCGGAUGAUUUGACAUAUGUGGGCCCACUGCUCCCCAGCUCAGCAGACACUCUCAUCCAAUUAGCAGUGCAUAAACAUAUCCAUUCAUCUAAUUUCUUAAAGAUUUCAUGUGUUACAUAAUUUCACACACUACUCAUGUGCAGUGAUGCAUUUACCUAGAAAUACAUUCCUGUGCCUGUACGUACAUUGACACAAUCCCCCAUACAUUCAGAUGCUACAUGCAGAUAUACAUACAGACAACACCACACUUGUCACAGACAGAUGUACAACUACUAUAUAAAAAAGAGAUACACAGUGCUGUGAAGUUGGUA